UAUCUUGGCUGACGAGAUUAUUUUAUUUUGCAGAGUCUGUGCACUUAUCUUCUCUACAUUCUACAUGGGCAUUAAAAUUUUGGCACUGGAACAGCGGCUGACAUCCAUGAGCUCUUUAGCAGACUUCCACUCUAGCACAGACCAAAUGAGGAGUAGAGACCCAGAACCCCAUCUGAAUGUGAAUGCAGAUAUAAUUUAUGAAGAAUUGACUGCCAAUUUAGCAAGACUAGAAAAGGUACAGAAGAAUCUAGAAAGGCUCCUGAGGGAAACUGAAUGAGCCAUCUUAUUGGAAUCUAUGAUGUGGAAAGACUACAGUGCCUCACUGUACAGAAAUUUAAUUUGACAGUACCUCAAAAUCUCUGCUGGACAGAGCUGUACAAGAACAGGGUUGAAAGUAUAUAUUUUUAAUGAAGAUCAAGUUUUUGAUAAAUGUGGUGUUACAGCCAGUUUGCCAUUAAAAUGAGGAUUUUCAUGGUGCAAUAGAAAAGCGAUUCUGCCACAAAUCCUGUUCUUUGGGGGAAGGUGGUCUGUUCUCCGUUGUGGUCAUUUAUCUACUGAUACUGCAUAUCUGUGAACUUUGCAGAAACAUGCAUUUUUUAACUACAGCAUUAAAAUCUGCAUAAAUAGGGCAAGCCCUCAAGGAGAUAUCCAGGUGUAUCUAGACACUCCAUGAUCUGCUGUGCUGUUAGUAGAGAUGAGGUGUACACCUUCCUGGUGUGGCACACUACUGAAUGACUUGCUAUGCAAAUGAUCUAUCCAUAAAACCUAGAAAUACUUUUAUUAUGUUUGCGGAUGGAAAGUAGUUGAAACAUUAUGCAAAUGAUCUAUCCACAAAACCUAGACAUACUUUUCUAUGUUUGCCGAUGGAAAGUAGUUGGAACAGCAAAGAAAAUAUUUUUUCUAAAGAGACCAUUUUUAUAUGGUGCAGGAUAACUUUUCUUGGUGAGCAGAACUUAUUUUAAUACACUUUUAUCGUAAUUAUGACUUGCAUAUAGUUAUGUGAUCACAAUGUUGGUGGAAUUUCUUACACAAAUUUAUAUAACUUGGCAUUAUCACUGGUCUGAGGUCAGCUUCUCUUACAUUAAACCCCCUUCUAAACAUUUCUAUGAAAUGUAUUGUAUGUGUCGAGUCUCUCAUGCUAUUGUUAAAAAAAAAUACAAAAAGUAUCUUGUACCACUGCAGAACUGCCAAGGAAGAAUAAACUUGUUAUUUAGACUGCAGUAUUUUAGUGAAACUGAAUAAAGAGUCACAUGACAAAA
This is a long non-coding RNA of Protopterus annectens (West African lungfish), 1259 nucleotides long. RefSeq lists it as uncharacterized. Lineage: Eukaryota; Metazoa; Chordata; Ceratodontiformes; Protopteridae. The record is from RefSeq and is a predicted model, not a curated record. The transcript has 3 exons.